AUGGUGGUUGUUGAUCGCUUCACCAAGUUCGCACACUUUGUGCCACUACGCCACCCCUUCAAUGCCGCUCAAGUGGCUUGCGCGUUCUGGGACAACGUGGUGAAGCUGCACGGCAUACCCUCCUCGAUCGUCUCGGAUCGCGACAAGGUCUUCACUACCAAUCUGUGGCGGGAGUUGCUCGCGGGUGCGGGCACCAAGCUGCUGUACUCCACCGCGUACCACCCGCAGACUGAUGGCCAGAGCGAGCGUGUGAAGCAGUGCAUGGAGAUGUACUUGCGUUGCGCCGUCCACGACUCCCCCAAGAAAUGGCGCCGCUGGUUGCCGAUGGCUGAAUUCUGGUACAACUCCACCUUCCACGCCUCGCUGAAUUGCACCCCGUUCAAGGCUCUUUACGGUAAGGAGGCCAAUUUGGGCGCCAUGGCGACAUGGGCGGAGGCCGCGCCGGCCGGCGAAGACUUGGACUGGGCAGAGCACACCGACAACAUCCGUGCUCACCUAGUGCGCGCCCAGCACCAGUUCAAGAAACAAGCUGACAAGCAUCGCGUCGAGCACUCCUUCCAAGUCGGUGAACAGGUGCUCCUGAAGCUCCAGCCGUACGUGCAGCGUUCGGUGGUCUCUCGCCCGUGCGCCAAGCUCGCCUUCAAGUUUCGGGCCGCUGGCCUACAAGCUGGAUCUGCUGCCGGACAGCCGCGUGCACCCUGUCUUCCACGUCUCGCAACUUAA
This 723-nucleotide ribosomal RNA is filed under the name Triticum aestivum (bread wheat). Its description in RNAcentral is "partial small subunit ribosomal RNA". Lineage: Eukaryota; Viridiplantae; Streptophyta; Magnoliopsida; Poales; Poaceae. The record is from RNAcentral.